AGAUAAAAGACCUAAAAACUAAUCAGGCAGAAAUGAAAAAUGCAAUAACUGAUAUUUGAAACCAGCUGGAUGUAAUGACCACUAGGAUGGAAGAAGCUGAAGAACAAAUAAAUGAUAUAGAAGAUAGAAUUAUGGAA
Long non-coding RNA from Lynx canadensis (Canada lynx), 137 nucleotides. RefSeq lists it as uncharacterized. NCBI's taxonomy places the organism in Eukaryota, Metazoa, Chordata, Mammalia, Carnivora, Felidae. The transcript has 3 exons. The record is from RefSeq and is a predicted model, not a curated record.